Molecule: ribosomal RNA, 427 nt
Filed under: uncultured bacterium
Lineage: Bacteria
Description: partial 16S ribosomal RNA
Rfam family: Bacterial small subunit ribosomal RNA
Source: RNAcentral
UGGGGAAUAUUGCACAAUGGGCGCAAGCCUGAUGCAGCCAUGCCGCGUGUGUGAAGAAGGCCUUCGGGUUGUAAAGCACUUUCAGCGAGGAGGAAGGGUAGUGUGUUAAUAGCACAUUGCAUUGACGUUACUCGCAGAAGAAGCACCGGCUAACUCCGUGCCAGCAGCCGCGGUAAUACGGAGGGUGCAAGCGUUAAUCGGAAUUACUGGGCGUAAAGCGCACGCAGGCGGUUUGUUAAGUCAGAUGUGAAAUCCCCGCGCUUAACGUGGGAACUGCAUUGGAAACGGGCAAGCUAGAGUCUUGUAGAGGGGGGUAGAAUUCCAGGGGUAGCGGUGAAAUGCGUAGAGAUCUGGAGGAAUACCGGUGGCGAAGGCGGCCCCCUGGACAAAGACUGACGCUCAGGUGCGAAAGCGUGGGGAGCAAACA